CUGUCGUCAGCUCGUGUCGUGAGAUGUUCGGUUAAGUCCGCUAACGAGCGCAACCCUCGUCGUAUGUUACAAGUGUCAUACGAGACUGCCGGUAAAAGUCGGAGGAAGGUGAGGAUGAUGUCAAGUCAGCAUGACCUUUAUAUCUAGGGCUACACACACGCUACAAUGGUCUGUACAAUGGGUUGCCAAGCCGCGAGGCGGAGCCAAUCCUAAAAAGCAGGCCUCAGUUCAGAUUGCAGUCUGCAACCCGACUGCAUGAAGCCGGAGUUGCUAGUAACCGCAGGUCAGCAAUACUGCGGUGAAUACGUUCCCGGGUCUU
RNAcentral lists this ribosomal RNA (319 nucleotides) under uncultured Anaerolineaceae bacterium. RNAcentral describes it as "bacterial SSU rRNA". It matches the Rfam family "Bacterial small subunit ribosomal RNA", at positions 1049 to 1382 of the family's 1533-position model. The record is from RNAcentral. Lineage: Bacteria; Bacillati; Chloroflexota; Anaerolineae; Anaerolineales; Anaerolineaceae.